CCUACGGGAGGCUGCAGUGGGGAAUUUUGGACAAUGGGCGCAAGCCUGAUCCAGCUAUUCCGCGUGUGGGAUGACGGCCUUCGGGUUGUAAACCACUUUUGUAGAGAACGAAAAGUCUGUUGUUAAUACCGAUAGAUGAUGACGGUACUCUAAGAAUCAGCACCGGCUAACUACGUGCCAGCAGCCGCGGUAAUACGUAGGGUGCGAGCGUUAAUCGGAAUUACUGGGCGUAAAGGGUGUGCAGGCGGUUUUGCAAGAUGGAUGUGAAAGCCCCGGGCUUAACCUGGGAAAGCCAUACAUGACUGCAAGACUAGAGUGCGUCAGAGGGGGGUGGAAUUCCAAGUGUAGCAGUGAAAUGCGUAGAUAUUUGGAAGAACACCGAUGGUGAAGGCAGCCCCCUGGGACGCAACUGACGCUCAUACACGAAAGCGUGGGGAGCAAACAGGAUUAGAUACCCGGGUAGUC
Molecule: ribosomal RNA, 465 nt
Filed under: uncultured bacterium
Lineage: Bacteria
Description: partial 16S ribosomal RNA
Rfam family: Bacterial small subunit ribosomal RNA
Source: RNAcentral